Molecule: transfer-messenger RNA, 388 nt
Filed under: Treponema sp.
Lineage: Bacteria; Pseudomonadati; Spirochaetota; Spirochaetia; Treponematales; Treponemataceae
Rfam family: transfer-messenger RNA
About the family: Bacterial tmRNA, also known as 10Sa RNA or SsrA, is named for its dual tRNA and mRNA-like properties. Its role is to liberate the mRNA from a stalled ribosome.
Source: RNAcentral
GGGGAUGCACCGGUUUCGACGGGUGUGUUUGCGGACUUGAAUUGCAGGUGAGGCCGCCUGUCCUCUGAACAGACAAAAUGUAUAACUGCCAAAAAAGAAGAAGACUUCGUCCUUGCGUUUGAUCGCAAGGAAGCGCAGUAUGCUCUUGCCGCGUAAGCGGUCUUGAGCCGGAACCCGGGUUGCGCCGUCCUGAGCGGCCCAGUGUUCUGUCGCCAACCAGGGCUUGCUGGCUGCGUUUUCCGGUUCGCAGCCGGGACAUUCACCGGAAUACGGGACCGACUCUUGCGGCGCUGCUACCGGCCCCCGACAACCACCUCGCGCCGAUAAACCUGUAGAGAUUCCUGCCCCGCACAUUCGGACGGGAGUUCAACUCUCCCCAUCUCCACUA